GACGAACGCUGGCGGCGUGCUUAAUACAUGCAAGUUGAGCGCUGAAGGUUGGUACUUGUACCGACUGGAUGAGCAGCGAACGGGUGAGUAACGCGUGGGGAAUCUGCCUUUGAGCGGGGGACAACAUUUGGAAACGAAUGCUAAUACCGCAUAAAAACUUUAAACACAAGUUUUAAGUUUGAAAGAUGCAAUUGCAUCACUCAAAGAUGAUCCCGCGUUGUAUUAGCUAGUUGGUGAGGUAAAGGCUCACCAAGGCGAUGAUACAUAGCCGACCUGAGAGGGUGAUCGGCCACAUUGGGACUGAGACACGGCCCAAACUCCUACAGGAGGCAGCAGUAGGGAAUCUUCGGCAAUGGACGAAAGUCUGACCGAGCAACGCCGCGUGAGUGAAGAAGGUUUUCGGAUCGUAAAACUCUGUUGGUAGAGAAGAACGUUGGUGAGAGUGGAAAGCUCAUCAAGUGACGGUAACUACCCAGAAAGGGACGGCUAACUACGUG
RNAcentral lists this ribosomal RNA (497 nucleotides) under uncultured bacterium. RNAcentral's name for it is "partial 16S ribosomal RNA". It matches the Rfam family "Bacterial small subunit ribosomal RNA", at positions 28 to 507 of the family's 1533-position model. The record is from RNAcentral.